UCGCAAGGCUGAAACUCAAAGGAAUUGACGGGGGCCCGCACAAGCGGUGGAGCAUGUGGUUCAAUUCGACGCAACGCGAAGAACCUUACCUGGGCUCGAACGGCUGGUUACCGGCGGUGGAAACAUCGCUACCCCGCAAGGGGGUCCAGUCGAGGUGCUGCAUGGCUGUCGUCAGCUCGUGUCGUGAGAUGUUGGGUUAAGUCCCGCAACGAGCGCAACCCUUGUCCUGUGUUGCCAUCAUUCAGUUGGGAACUCGCAGGAGACCGCCAGCGAUAAGCUGGAGGAAGGUGGGGAUGACGUCAAGUCCUCAUGGCCUUUAUGUCCAGGGCUACACACGUGCUACAAUGGACGGUACAAAGCGCUGCAAACCCGCGAGGGGGAGCCAAUCGCAGAAAACCGUUCUCAGUUCGGAUUGCAGGCUGCAACUCGCCUGCAUGAAGCUGGAAUCGCUAGUAAUGGCAGAUCAGCACGCUGCCGUGAAUACGUUCCCGGGCCUUGUACACACCGCCCGUCACAUCACGAAAGUGGAUUGUACUAGAAGUCUGCGCGCCGACCGCAAGGGGGCAGCGGCCCAAGGUAUGAUCCAUGAUUGGGGUGAAG
RNAcentral lists this ribosomal RNA (600 nucleotides) under uncultured bacterium. RNAcentral describes it as "bacterial SSU rRNA". It matches the Rfam family "Bacterial small subunit ribosomal RNA", at positions 886 to 1485 of the family's 1533-position model. The record is from RNAcentral.